CAAGAUGUAGCUUAAUAAAAGCCCCCCCCCCACAACGAGGAAAUGUCUGUUUAUCCAAACCAUCUUGA
This 68-nucleotide transfer RNA is filed under the name Sanguirana aurantipunctata. RNAcentral describes it as "tRNA-Val". Lineage: Eukaryota; Metazoa; Chordata; Amphibia; Anura; Ranidae. The record is from RNAcentral.